This 327-nucleotide ribosomal RNA is filed under the name uncultured eukaryote. RNAcentral's name for it is "partial 18S ribosomal RNA". It matches the Rfam family "Eukaryotic small subunit ribosomal RNA", at positions 1470 to 1796 of the family's 1831-position model. The record is from RNAcentral.
CCCUUAGAUGUUCUGGGCCGCACGCGCGCUACACUGACGAAUGCAACGAACUUAUAACCUUGGCCGAAAGGUCUGGGUAAUCUCCAAAUUUCGUCGUGAUGGGGAUAGGUUAUUGCAAUUAUUAAUCUUCAACGAGGAAUGCCUAGUAAGCGCAAGUCAUCAGCUUGCGUUGAUUACGUCCCUGCCCUUUGUACACACCGCCCGUCGCUGCCCGGAACUGAGCCGUUUCGAGAAGACUGAGGAUUGCUGACUUGAGGCUCUCGCGGGCUUCUAGUCGGUGAAAAUCAAUUUAAUCGCAGCGGCUUGAACCGGGCAAAAGUCGUAACA